UGUCCCUACGGGGCGCAGCAGUGAGGGAUAUUGGUCAAUGGGCUUACGCCUGAACCAGCCAAGUCGCGUGAGGGAAGACUGCCCUAUGGGUUGUAAACCUCUUUUGUCAGGGAGCAAUUGGCGCUACGUGUAGCGUUAUCGAGAGUACCUGAAGAAAAAGCAUCGGCUAACUCCGUGCCAGCAGCCGCGGUAAUACGGAGGAUGCGAGCGUUAUCCGGAUUUAUUGGGUUUAAAGGGUGCGUAGGCGGGCUGUUAAGUCAGCGGUCAAAUGUCGGGGCUCAACCCCGGCCUGCCGUUGAAACUGG
This 305-nucleotide ribosomal RNA is filed under the name uncultured bacterium. Its description in RNAcentral is "bacterial SSU rRNA". It matches the Rfam family "Bacterial small subunit ribosomal RNA", at positions 334 to 636 of the family's 1533-position model. The record is from RNAcentral.